Molecule: ribosomal RNA, 253 nt
Filed under: uncultured bacterium
Lineage: Bacteria
Description: partial 16S ribosomal RNA
Rfam family: Bacterial small subunit ribosomal RNA
Source: RNAcentral
UACAGAGGGUGCGAGCGUUAAUCGGAGUUACUGGGCGUAAAGGGCGCGUAGGCGGUUAUAUAUGUGGGAUGUGAAAGCCCUGGGCUUAACCUAGGAAGCGCAUACCGAACUGUAUAGCUGGAGUAUGGGAGAGGGUGGCGGAAUUUCCGGUGUAGCGGUGAAAUGCGUAGAGAUCGGAAGGAACGUCGAUGGCGAAGGCAGCCACCUGGCCCAAUACUGACGCUGAGGCGCGAAAGCGUGGGGAGCGAACAGG